GUGCCAGCAGCCGCGGUGAUACGGAGGGUGCAAGCGUUAAUCGGAAUUACUGGGCGUAAAGCGCACGCAGGCGGUUUGUUAAGUCAGAUGUGAAAUCCCCGGGCUCAACCUGGGAACUGCAUCUGAUACUGGCAAGCUUGAGUCUCGUAGAGGGGGGUAGAAUUCCAGGUGUAGCGGUGAAAUGCGUAGAGAUCUGGAGGAAUACCGGUGGCGAAGGCGGCCCCCUGGACGAAGACUGACGCUCAGGUGCGAAAGCGUGGGGAGCAAACAGGAUUAGAUACCCUGGUAGUCCACGCCGUAAACGAUGUCGACUUGGAGGUUGUGGCUUCCGGAGCUAACGCGUUAAGUCGACCGCCUGGGGAGUACGGCCGCAAGGUUAAAACUCAAAUGAAUUGACGGGGGCCCGCACAAGCGGUGGAGCAUGUGGUUUAAUUCGAUGCAACGCGAAGAACCUUACCUGGUCUUGACAUCCAGGUGCUGCAUGGCUGUCGUCAGCUCGUGUUGUGAAAUGUUGGGUUAAGUCCCGCAACGAGCGCAACCCUUAUCCUUUGUUGCAACUCAAAGGAGACUGCCAGUGAUAAACUGGAGGAAGUGGGGGAUGACGUCAAGUCAUCAUGGCCCUUACGACCAGGGCUACACACGUGCUACAAUGGC
Molecule: ribosomal RNA, 654 nt
Filed under: uncultured bacterium
Lineage: Bacteria
Description: bacterial SSU rRNA
Rfam family: Bacterial small subunit ribosomal RNA
Source: RNAcentral